Molecule: ribosomal RNA, 498 nt
Filed under: uncultured bacterium
Lineage: Bacteria
Description: partial 16S ribosomal RNA
Rfam family: Bacterial small subunit ribosomal RNA
Source: RNAcentral
ACUGAACGCUGGCGGCAUGCCUUACACAUGCAAGUCGAACGGUAACGCGGGGCAACCUGGCGACGAGUGGCGAACGGGUGAGUAAUGCAUCGGAACGUGCCCAGUAGUGGGGGAUAGCCCGGCGAAAGCCGGAUUAAUACCGCAUACGACCUACGGGUGAAAGGGGGGGAUCGCAAGACCUCUCGCUAUUGGAGCGGCCGAUGUCAGAUUAGGUAGUUGGUGGGGUAAAGGCCCACCAAGCCUUCGAUCUGUAGCUGGUCUGGGAGGACGACCAGCCGCACAGGGACGGAGACACGGCCCAGACUCCUACGGGAGGCAGCAGGGGGGAAUUUUGGACAAUGGGCGCAAGCCUGAUCCAGCCGUGCCGCGUGCGGGAAGAAGGCCUUCGGGUUGUAAACCGCUUUUGUCAGGGAAGAAACGCUCUGGGCUAAUACCUCGGGGUAAUGACGGUACCUGAAGAAUAAGCACCGGCUAACUACGUGCCAGCCGCCGCCGUAA